ACGGGUGAGUAACACGUAUCCAACCUUUCCCUUACCCGGGUAUAGCCUCGGGAAACUGAGAGUAAUCCCCGAUGUGGUGCACGAGAAGCAUUUUUUGCGCACGAAAGAUUCAUCGGUAAGGGGUGGGGAUGCGUUCCAUUAGGUAGUAGGCGGGGUAACGGCCCACCUAGCCGAUGAUGGAUAGGGGUUCUGAGAGGAAGGUCCCCCACAUUGGAACUGCGACACGGUCCAAACUCCUACGGGAGGCAGCAGUGAGGAAUAUUGGUCAAUGGCCGGAAGGCUGAACCAGCCAAGUAGCGUGCAGGAUGACGGCCCUAUGGGUUGUAAACUGCUUUUGUACGGGAAUAACGGUUGUCACGUGUGAUGAUGUGCAUGUACCGUACGAAUAAGGAUCGGCUAACUCCGUGCCAGCAGCCGCGGUAAUACGGAGGAUCCGAGCGUUAUCCGGAUUUAUUGGGUUUAAAGGGAGCGUAGGCGGAGGAUCAAGUCAGCUGUGAAAUGUAGGCGCUCAACGCCUGCACUGCAGUUGAAACUGGUUCCCUUGAGUGCGUAAGAGGCAGGCGGAAUUCGUCGUGUAGCGGUGAAAUGCUUAGAUAUGACGAAGAACUCCGAUCGCGAAGGCAGCUUGCCGGGCCGCAACUGACGCUGAAGCUCGAAGGUGCGGGUAUCGAACAGGAUUAGAUACCCUGGUAGUCCGCACAGUAAACGAUGGAUACUCGCUGUCGGCGAUAUACGGUCGGUGGCCAAGCGAAAGCGUUAAGUAUCCCACCUGGGGAGUACGCCGGCAACGGUGAAACUCAAAUGAAUUGACGG
Molecule: ribosomal RNA, 813 nt
Filed under: uncultured bacterium
Lineage: Bacteria
Description: bacterial SSU rRNA
Rfam family: Bacterial small subunit ribosomal RNA
Source: RNAcentral